RNAcentral lists this ribosomal RNA (753 nucleotides) under uncultured bacterium. RNAcentral's name for it is "bacterial SSU rRNA". It matches the Rfam family "Bacterial small subunit ribosomal RNA", at positions 700 to 1460 of the family's 1533-position model. The record is from RNAcentral.
CGAAGAACCCCGAUUGCGAAGGCAGCUUGCGGGAGCGCGACUGACGCUGAAGCUCGAAAGUGCGGGUAUCAAACAGGAUUAGAUACCCUGGUAGUCCGCACGGUAAACGAUGGAUGCCCGUUCUGCGGCCUUCGGGCCGCGGGACCAAGCGAAAGCAUUAAGCAUCCCACCUGGGGAGUACGCCGGCAACGGUGAAACUCAAAGGAAUUGACGGGGGCCCGCACAAGCGGAGGAACAUGUGGUUUAAUUCGAUGAUACGCGAGGAACCUUACCAAGUCUUGACAUCCCUUGCACGCUCUAGAGAUAGAGUUUUCCCCUUCGGGGGACAAGGUGACAGGUGGUGCAUGGUUGUCGUCAGCUCGUGUCGUGAGAUGUUGGGUUAAGUCCCGCAACGAGCGCAACCCUUGUGAAUAGUUGCUACGAAAGAGCACUCUAUUCAGACCGCCGUUGACAAAACGGAGGAAGGUGGGGAUGACGUCAAAUCAUCAUGCCCCUUAUGACCUGGGCUACACACGUACUACAAUGGCCAUCAACAGAGGGAAGCAAGGCCGCGAGGUGGAGCGAACCCCUAAAAAUGGUCUCAGUUCAGAUUGCAGGCUGAAACCCGCUUGCAUGAAGAUGGAAUUGCUAGUAAUCGCGGAUCAGCAUGCCGCGGUGAAUACGUUCCCGGGCCUUGUACACACCGCCCGUCACACCAUGAGAGCCGGGGACACCCGAAGUCGGUUGGGUAACCGUAAGGAGCCCGCCGCCGAA